RNAcentral lists this ribosomal RNA (245 nucleotides) under uncultured Bacteroidales bacterium. RNAcentral's name for it is "partial 16S ribosomal RNA". It matches the Rfam family "Bacterial small subunit ribosomal RNA", at positions 524 to 768 of the family's 1533-position model. The record is from RNAcentral. Lineage: Bacteria; Pseudomonadati; Bacteroidota; Bacteroidia; Bacteroidales.
UACGGAGGAUGCGAGCGUUAUCCGGAUUUAUUGGGUUUAAAGGGUGCGUAGGCUGUUCGUCAAGUCAGUGGUGAAAUGCCGGGGCUCAACCCCGGAGCUGCCAUUGAUACUGUCGGGCUUGAAUCCUGCUGCCGUGGGAGGAAUGAGUAGUGUAGCGGUGAAAUGCAUAGAUAUUACUCAGAACACCGAUUGCGAAGGCAUCUCACGAAACAGGCAUUGACGCUGAGGCACGAAAGCGUGGGGAU